GAUGAACGCUAGCGAUAGGCUUAACACAUGCAAGUCGAGGGGCAGCAUGGUCUUAGCUUGCUAAGGCUGAUGGCGACCGGCGCACGGGUGCGUAACGCGUAUGCAACUUGCCUCACAGAGGGGGAUAACCCGUCGAAAGACGGACUAAUACCGCGUACACUCCAUCUUGGGCAUCCAAGGUAGAGGAAAUGAAAUUCGCUGUGAGAUAGGCAUGCGUCCCAUUAGCUAGUUGGUGAGGUAACGGCUCACCAAGGCGACGAUGGGUAGGGGAACUGAGAGGUUGAACCCCCACACUGGUACUGAGACACGGACCAGACUCCUACGGGAGGCAGCAGUGAGGAAUAUUGGUCAAUGGGCGAGAGCCUGAACCAGCCAAGUCGCGUGAAGGAUGACUGUCUUAUGGAUUGUAAACUUCUUUUAGACGGGAAUAACAAGAGUCACGUGUGACUCCCUGCAUGUACCGUAUGAAUAAGCAUCGGCUAACUCCGUG
RNAcentral lists this ribosomal RNA (490 nucleotides) under uncultured bacterium. RNAcentral describes it as "partial 16S ribosomal RNA". It matches the Rfam family "Bacterial small subunit ribosomal RNA", at positions 28 to 507 of the family's 1533-position model. The record is from RNAcentral.